AAUUGUCCGGACCCAGCCGGAAAACAAAAGAGAGCCGUAAAGAGCAUAGCUACCAAAGUGGGAAGAGCGAUGGCGAAAGAGUGUCUGAGUGGCGAACGGAUAUGGAAAUGGUAGUCGCAAACGCUUAGGAAUCGAUUGUCCAGCUCGUGACGGAAUGUAUCUCUUGGAUUCGGAUUCAAUCGCUGACGUAAACACCUCUCCAUUCGCUAUAACUUGGCCAUCGGAUUGGGCUUCAUUCGCUUUCGUCGGAUUUGCCGAUAAGAAGUCACUGCCCCACGGCGUCUGGGUUAACCCAAUUAAGAUAUGUACUAAAACAAACAAUUCGUCUAUAAAUACACAUCUCAAGUGUUGGAAAUAGGGGAUUUGCCAACUCAUUGAGAGGUCAUUAGUUUGAACUGAUUUGUUAGGGUAAUCCAGUAAGGUGCUACCCGCAAGGAAAUGAUAUAUGGCCUAUAAUUAACGAUAAGCAUUUAUUAUUUUAUAGUACUUUAUAGUAGUUUGGUUUAGGAAACACAUUAAUGAGUUUAUGAUAGUGUAUGCUUGUUGAAGAUGCGUUGAAAUCUAUAUAUUAAUCCUCAGUAAAAAUGGCAUAUAAAUAGUAUAAAUGGUAUAUCACUUUAGAAUACACCUAAGCAAAUAGCAUAUAGAUAGAAUCGAAAGCCUGCAAGCUGGGUAAACUAGUUUCGGAUUCGAAUUCGUCUAAGUUGCCAGGCCAGACUCGAUCUGAGGGGUAUUAUGUAAAUAUGGGUGAAAUAAAUUAGAAAGGAGACGCACAAUAGUGAUGAGAUGGCAGCGUCUGAGGCCCUUAGCUCGGUGAAAAGACUGAGAAAGCUCUCCGAUGGGAGAAAGUUACCCGAGUACCAAUUGAAUCGAAGAGUUCGUUACAAUUGCAACUGGAAUCCCGCCGAAGAUUUCUUCGGUUGGAACUGGUUUGGUUUCGUUCCCCUUGAAACCCGUUUUGGCCGAAAGUGAAGUGCAGCCUCAUCGGGACAGCAGAACACGAAUGUAGUGAUAGAAAAUAAUUACAGAAAAGAAGGCAGAUAAGAGCGACUGGGACUGAUAACGUAUACUGGAUUUUUGAUGAUGGGCGAACAUUUUCUGUUGAUUGCUGGUUGCCAAGCACUCAGUUCACAACGUGGCAUAAAAUGAAUAUAUAUGAAAUUAGCACUGUGUCUAGAAUCGAAGCGAAAAAGAAUUUGCAUAGCGAAGGCUGGAUUUCAUUGGAUAGUGCUUUUUGGUUAUGACUUUCAUUCAACAUUUUAGCCACGUUGGCGCUGAUGGUAUUCUGCUGCUGACGUUGGCAGCAAUCACUGCUCCGCACCAUAAAUACAUUUUAUUCCACGACCCCCGGAAGAUAAGACCCUCGUUGGGUUGCUAUUGUUGUUUUCGGGGGGCUUUAAGAACCCAGAAUGGUCAACGUGGACCAGCAGCCAGGUGAUAGCGAAGGCGGAGAUAGCUCCCUGAUGGUUUCCCAUUUGGUAUUACCUGGUCCGCGUUCUGGAAGCGGCUGAAAGUUGCCAUUGGAGUUGUUGCGUGAGUAGCGCUUGCUGCCGCCUGCCAUUUUUU
This is a long non-coding RNA of Drosophila simulans, 1566 nucleotides long. RefSeq lists it as uncharacterized. The record is from RefSeq and is a predicted model, not a curated record. The transcript has 2 exons. NCBI's taxonomy places the organism in Eukaryota, Metazoa, Arthropoda, Insecta, Diptera, Drosophilidae.